GUGUCUGAAGUCGAAGUGGUCGAGACGCUAGCCUGUGAAGUUAGUCGAUAGCGGGUUCAAGCCCCGUCAGACACCCCU
RNAcentral lists this transfer RNA (78 nucleotides) under Nostoc sp. PCC 7524. Its description in RNAcentral is "tRNA-OTHER". It matches the Rfam family "tRNA". From Rfam's summary of the family: Transfer RNA (tRNA) molecules are approximately 80 nucleotides in length. Their secondary structure includes four short double-helical elements and three loops (D, anti-codon, and T loops). The record is from RNAcentral. Lineage: Bacteria; Bacillati; Cyanobacteriota; Cyanophyceae; Nostocales; Nostocaceae.